This is a long non-coding RNA of Odocoileus virginianus texanus, 2369 nucleotides long. RefSeq lists it as uncharacterized. Lineage: Eukaryota; Metazoa; Chordata; Mammalia; Artiodactyla; Cervidae. The record is from RefSeq and is a predicted model, not a curated record.
GCAACCAAAGGCAACCGAGCAGCAAACCUCAGAAGGCAGAGCCGGUUACGGAGGGGGAAUCUCAAGCACCUAGUGUCCCCCAGAGACUGGGCCCAGCUCGAUCAAAGGAAAAGUCAGCCUCCAAGAGUCCACAAUGACGCAGAGGAAGCCAGGGGAAACAGUCAGUGGCGAGUCACCAUUGAUUCACAGUCUGAACGGUAGAGCAGGACCAAGCUGCAACCCGCAGCCUCUCGUAACCCUCGCUUUACUGAUAAAGGAACGGGAAGCAGGAAAGUUAACCAAUCCGAGUCCCACUGCCAGCGUCAGAGCCAGAACCACCGCUCUCUGGCCUUCUGUUUGUAUAGCUUUUAACAGUUUGCAGACUUUCUCACGUGCUUUAGUUUCUUCUGAUCCUGAACUGAAAGCAAAUAUUUAUCCUUCAAGGGAGAGGCCAAAUGAGGACUGCUUCGUUUCCUCAUCUGAGAGGAUAAGAGUACUUUCUUAAUGGAAGUCUUACUAGAAUUAAAUGGGUUGAUAAUGUUGGGGUUUCAAGAGGAUAUAAUAAAGGACACCCCUCAUCCAUUACAAAGCUCUGAGUAGUUAAGGAAUGGACGUGAACAAGUCAAAUAAAUGGAAUCAAAAUAUCAACUUUACUCUCAUAGGUUUUAUAUUGAAGUCAGUGGUUUGUAUGUGUGGGUAAGUGAACCCCAGAAUUAGGCAAGGUACCACUUGGCCGGGGCAGGCCGCCCAGUUGUGAACUGUCCCUGAAAACCAGGCAUUAGGAGAGAAGAGAACCAACAGGGGUUCUGGAGGAGACCUGCUGCGGAAAGAAAGAAGAAAGAGGCUUCCUACCCACGUACUCACCACGGAGAAACUGCUUCUCCUCCCCUUCCGUGGCCUCCUGUCCCUCUCCGCUCCUCGGGACGAGUGAGUCAAGGAAAAAGGAGAGGUCAGAAAUUUUAUGCCAGAAGUGCUUCUUCUGCCCUGUGGAAGGAAAUAUCAGGGGGUCUUUAUCCUAAAGAGAUAGAUGCUGAAGAAAAUGGAUGAAAUGAGAUUAAUCCUCUGGACAACAUGGUGACCAUAUCAAGACUAAAAGAUAUGUCAGCAUUCUCAGAAACAGCCUCCCUCUUUCCCUUACACACACCCACACACAAUGGAAGCUUGAUGGAAGCAUAAACUCUUGGUAUACUAUUUACUAUAUUUUCAUAUAUAUAUAUAUCCCCAUAUGCUGUAUUAUGGAUUUGCUGAACUCAUUUGUAGUUCUUUAUAUUUGGCAUUUAUAAAUAACUUAAGUCAAAAGAAUACUAAUUUAACAAUCUAAAUGUAAGAUCAAAAAACCUGUUCUUGUUAAUAAGCAAAUUGGUAUCUUUUGGACUGAAGACAGAGUAACCAAGGAGCAGGUGUAUUUGAAAAAAAGUUCAUUUAUCAGUUUAUGAAGAAAAGACACAUUAUUAUCUCUUUAGCCAGUAAUUUCCUUCAAGGAGGUUAUUAUACAGGAAGUCUAAUAGUGUGCAUAAAGCUGCCUGGUGAACAUGAUACAUGUGGAAUUACAUGAUGAGAAUAUUUACUGGUAUUGGGGCUGGAUUUUUUAUGUUGAAGUGGGUCCUUAAGUCCUAACUCAUGAUAUCUAAAGUUCUUAAAAUCUACUACUCUUAAGUUACUAAUAUUAAAUGAAAGGAUGCUUCUUUCUGCUCUUGAGUUGCACUUCUGGGAUUUCAAGUUCCUGCUUUUACCUUUAAGAAAAAACAGUAACCUUGGUUGAAAGAUCAUUGUCUAAAUAUCUCUGAACAGUUAGUUGUCAAAGUAGCAGGAUGAAAUGUCACUAUGUUUAAAAUAACAGCUGAUAGCUCCUCUCCAUUUAAAAUGCUCCUGUAUAUUAAAAGAGUAUAUAAAUAAGGUAUUUUUCACAUAAAACCUAAGCACUCCUAAAAGACAGACUGAUUCCAGGCUAACAAGACUUGACCCUUAUCUACUACAGAAAAAAGUCCAUCAGAACAUUAUGAUUUUUUUAGGAAACAAAUUAUGUCGCUAUGCUGAAGAAAUCUCCAAGAAGAAACUAAAUGGUUCAUGCCAAUAGUACCUCCAGGCUUCUUAGGUUGAAGGUACAAUAAAGCUCUCCAAAAAAGAAAUAGGGAAUGGGGAACAACUGUUGGCACUGUAGCUUUAUAGACACAUUUUAGUGGAAUGCUUCUUUCCAUGUGUUUAUCAAACUGGCACCUGCAUGGCAAGUGCCUGAGCAUGAGAAGUUUCUGCAAAAUGCAGACUCCUGGGUCACACUAAGGACUUCAGCAACUGUGGUUUUUAUGGAAUUGCUACAUUCUAAGAAAAUUACGAAUGAUACAUAAUAAUCUGUUUGGGGGAACUCGGGUGGAGUCCUGGAAUGUAUAGUU